This 446-nucleotide ribosomal RNA is filed under the name uncultured bacterium. Its description in RNAcentral is "partial 16S ribosomal RNA". It matches the Rfam family "Bacterial small subunit ribosomal RNA", at positions 338 to 795 of the family's 1533-position model. The record is from RNAcentral.
CCUACGGGUGGCUGCAGUCGAGAAUCUUUCACAAUGGGGGAAACCCUGAUGGUGCGACGCCGCGUGGGGGAAUGAAGGUCUUCGGAUUGUAAACCCCUGUCAUGUGGGAGUAAAUUAAAAAGAUAGUACCACAAGAGGUAGCGACGGCUAACUCUGUGCCAGCAGCCGCGGUAAUACAGAGGUCUCCAGCGUUGUUCGGAUUCACUGGGCGUAAAGGGUGCGUAGACGGUUUCGUAAGUCGUGUGUGAAAGGCGUGGGUUCAACCCGCGGACUGCAAAUGAUACUGCGAGACUUGAGUAAAGGAGAGGGAGCCGGAAUUCGCGGUGUAGCGGUGAAAUGCGUAGAUAUCAAGAGGAACACUCGUGGCGAAGGCGGGUUCCUAAACUGUAACUGACGCUGAGGCACGAAGGCGAGGGGAGCAAAAGGGAUUAGAUACCCCAGUAGUC